RNAcentral lists this ribosomal RNA (433 nucleotides) under uncultured bacterium. RNAcentral's name for it is "partial 16S ribosomal RNA". It matches the Rfam family "Bacterial small subunit ribosomal RNA", at positions 29 to 507 of the family's 1533-position model. The record is from RNAcentral.
AACGAACGCUGGCGGCAUGCCUAACACAUGCAAGUCGAACGAGACCUUCGGGUCUAGUGGCGCACGGGUGCGUAACGCGUGGGAACCUGCCCUUAGGUUCUGAAUAACUCCCCGAAAUGGGUUCUAAUACCGGAUAAUGUCUUCGGACCAAAGAUUUAUCGCCUUUGGAUGGGCCCGCGUUGGAUUAGCUUGUUGGUAGGGUAAAAGCCUACCAAGGCGACGAUCCAUAGCUGGUCUGAGAGGAUGAUCAGCCACACUGGGACUGAGACACGGCCCAGACUCCUACGGGAGGCAGCAGUGGGGAAUAUUGGACAAUGGGCGAAAGGCUGAUCCAGCAAGGCCGCGUGAGUGAUGAAGGCCUUAGGGUUGUAAAGCUCUUUUAACCGGGAUGAUAAUGACAGUACCGGGAGAAUAAGCUCCGGCUAACUCCGUG